UCCGGCAGCUAGCUCUCUGCAACUCUCACAUGGUCGCCCACUGAAGCUAAGCAGGGCUGCGCCUGGUCAGUACCUGGAUGGGAGACCACAUGGGAAAGCUAGGUUGCUGCCGGAA
This 115-nucleotide ribosomal RNA is filed under the name Danio rerio (zebrafish). The record is from RNAcentral. Lineage: Eukaryota; Metazoa; Chordata; Actinopteri; Cypriniformes; Danionidae.